RNAcentral lists this ribosomal RNA (557 nucleotides) under uncultured bacterium. RNAcentral describes it as "bacterial SSU rRNA". It matches the Rfam family "Bacterial small subunit ribosomal RNA", at positions 358 to 916 of the family's 1533-position model. The record is from RNAcentral.
GGAAUAUUGGGCAAUGGACGCAAGUCUGACCCAGCCAUGCCGCGUGCAGGAGGAAGGCGUUAUGCGUUGUAAACUGCUUUUAUACAGGAAGAAACGACUCUUGCGAGAGGCAUUGACGGUACUGUAUGAAUAAGCACCGGCUAACUCCGUGCCAGCAGCCGCGGUAAUACGGAGGGUGCAAGCGUUGUCCGGAUUUAUUGGGUUUAAAGGGUGCGCAGGUGGUUUAUUAAGUCAGUGGUGAAAGACGGUCGCUCAACGAUUGCAGUGCCAUUGAAACUGGUAGACUUGAGUAAAGUAGAGGUGGGCGGAAUUGAUAGUGUAGCGGUGAAAUGCAUAGAUAUUAUCAAGAACUCCAAUUGCGUAGGCAGCUCACUUGGCUUUUACUGACACUCAUGCACGAAAGUGUGGGUAUCAAACAGGAUUAGAUACCCUGGUAGUCCACACUGUAAACGAUGAUAACUAGGUGUCGGCCGAAUCUGGUCGGUGCCACAGCGAAAGCGUUAAGUUAUCCACCUGGGGAGUACGCCGGCAACGGUGAAACUCAAAUGAAUUGACGG